CCAAGUUAUGUCCUAUUUCAAUAGUAAUAUAAAAACUAUAGAAGAACGUAAUGAAGGCCUAGUCCCCGUUAUAAAAGAAGCUUAUAAAUGUCAGAUUAAAAACAAAUUGAUUGCUAAACUUUAUCAGAACUUACAAUCACUUAAGGAUCAAUCAACCAAUUAUAUCAAAAUUAAAUGGGAAACGGAGGCUAAAAUCAACACAUCAGAGGACAGUUGGUUAAAUAUAUGCAGGACACAGAUGGAAACUACUAGCUCGGGUUAUUGGAGGGAAUUCACGUGGAAAAAUUUUAUUAGGUUUUUUAUAACACCCAAAAUAAAAUACAAACAAAAAGGUCAACUGACAGAUGGACACUGCUGGAGAAACUGUGGGGAAAACAUGGCAGAUCAUUUCCAUAUAUUUUGGAAAUGCCCAAUAAUCCUGUCAUACUGGAGUGAAUUGGUCGAAUCAAUUUACUUGGUGACUGGUCUCAAACUAAAUUUGGAUUUUUGUACUGUGUACUGGGGCGAUAUCCCAUCAGCAGCCUCCUUAAAGGACAAAUACUUGAUAAACAUCCUGGAGAAAGCGCCCCCAACAAAGAAAGAUUGGAUAGGAAUAAUGGAGGAAAUAUAUAGAAUGGAAAAACUUACUUUUUUUUUUACCUUAAAAUGGACCAAUUUCAUAAAAACUGGAGGAAAUGGGAGAGAUUUGUUGAAGGUGGUAACGUGGGAUGAGGUAUUCACGCAACUACUGGAAGAAGGAAGGUCUGCUAAGGACGUUUUUUUUUUUUUUUUUUAAAGGUAGUUUAUAAAAGAGACUGGAAAUACCCUUCCGAAUAUGAUCAGGGAUGGACUGUAAAGUGCUGAGUGGACAGUAGUAAAAACCUAACGACAUGGGACCUGUAAAAAGGUGGAGGGGAGCUCCCCCAGGCCGAGUAGAUCUGCGUGGUUCACUGUGCCAUUAUAAUGCAGCUGUCCUAUAGACAAAUCUUCUUUUGCACCUGCAUAUCAGUCAUCAGGACCUCAUGCACAGUGCCCAGUGACUGGCAUCAGAAAAUAUAUCCCUUAAAUCAAAAAUAUAUUUAUUCUCGUCAGCAGCAGUUCUUUAAUCUGCAUUUCAGAGAGAAACACAUGAAUAAAAUGUGAGCUUACACUGUAUUAUUUGGUUAUUAGGCCUACAACACUCCUUCACCCUAGCUCAGCAUUUUGUUGUAAAUCUGUCCCACAGCCUACAAAAUUAAAUACGUUUUAAGUAAUAUAUUGUCCUACUUGAUAGCAAUACUUUCUAACUUUGGUCCUCGUCCCUGUCUAGGAUUUCGAUGACCAAAGUAAAAUUCCAUCCAUCACUUGUCCUGGUUGACCCAUAGUAAACAAUAUUAUAAACCUUUGGCCUGGAAUACAACAGCAGACAUUACUGACACAAAGUAAGUUACACAGAAGCUUGACUGAACUAUAAUCAAUUCACAUAGAUUAAUAUCUUGAUUUGAAAUGGUGGGCUAAAUAUGAAGCUGUGGAAAAAAAGUUGGGCAUCUUUCUUUGCCUUUAGAGAAUAAUUCUGAUGGUAAAAACCAAACGGGACAGGCGAGGGGGGAAAAAAAUGUUUUUUUUAAAAAAAACAAACAAGCAAAACCAAUCAAAGCAAAAAAAAAAAAAAUUAUUUAGGAACUAAAAUUGUUUGAUAAAUGCAGUUUAUCAGUAUAUGCUACAGAAUAUGUGACCACCAAUUAAUAAGGUCAUGUCCAAUCAGUCUUAGUCUCUCCUCUUUGCGUCUUCUCCAGUGUCACCUGUGUGUAGUCAGUUUUGUCUGUUUACUAGUGUCAAGUUUGUGUCUCUGUCUUGCUCUCACUCCCUUUCCCUCUCUCUCUCUGCUCUUUGCUGUCCACUUUAUUUUCUCAUCAUAGUGGUCAUGUUCAAUGCACUCACAAUCUUAAUGACUCCAAUACAUGGACGUUUUAGAGAUUACAUCACAGACGCUGGGUUGUUUUUCCAUAUUUGUUGAUCGCUCUGGUUAAUUUCAGAAUGUUUUUUUAUUUACUUUUGUAUAUACUGAUCAAAAAGACCAAAGUAAGAAAAAGUGAACAACUUCAGUCUGACAUUUAAAAUUAUACAUCGACUCAUCUUGCAAUCAGGCC
This is a long non-coding RNA of Astatotilapia calliptera (eastern happy), 2108 nucleotides long. NCBI's taxonomy places the organism in Eukaryota, Metazoa, Chordata, Actinopteri, Cichliformes, Cichlidae. The record is from Ensembl.